AAUGAACGCUGGCGGCAGGCCUAACACAUGCAAGUCGAACGGACCCUUCGGGGUUAGUGGCGGACGGGUGAGUAACGCGUGGGAACGUGCCCUUUGGUUCGGAAUAGCCUCGGGAAACUGGGAGUAAUACCGGAUAAGCCCUUCGGGGGAAAGAUUUAUCGCCAAAGGAUCGGCCCGCGUUGGAUUAGGUAGUUGGUGGGGUAAUGGCCUACCAAGCCGACGAUCCAUAGCUGGUUUGAGAGGAUGAUCAGCCACACUGGGACUGCGACACGGCCCAGACUCCUACGGGAGGCAGCAGUGGGGAAUCUUAGACAAUGGGGGAAACCCUGAUCUAGCCAUGCCGCGUGAUCGAUGAAGGCCUUAGGGUUGUAAAGAUCUUUCAGAUGGGAAGAUAAUGACGGUACCAUCAGAAGAAGCCCCGGCUAACUCCGUGCCAGCCGCCGCAGUAA
This 449-nucleotide ribosomal RNA is filed under the name uncultured bacterium. RNAcentral's name for it is "partial 16S ribosomal RNA". It matches the Rfam family "Bacterial small subunit ribosomal RNA", at positions 29 to 523 of the family's 1533-position model. The record is from RNAcentral.